UUAACAGUGAUGAUAAGGACAACCAUCUUAAUGGAACGUUGCAGAGAAGGAGGGGUAGCUGCGAACCUCCAAACCGAAAAUUGAGAUUGGACCGCCUUUGAACUUCUAUCUGGAAAGCUUUUAGUGAGUAAUGAUAGACGAUUCGCUUUCGUUAACAGCGACAAGAGAGAACAAAUUUUGUGUUUGUUUGAAAUCUUGGGUGGAACCACGAGCAUAACUCGUCCCUUGU
Molecule: non-coding RNA, 229 nt
Filed under: Listeria aquatica
Lineage: Bacteria; Bacillati; Bacillota; Bacilli; Caryophanales; Listeriaceae
Description: T-box sequence
Rfam family: T-box leader
About the family: Uncharged tRNA acts as the effector for transcription antitermination of genes in the T-box leader family. T-boxes are found upstream of many aminoacyl-tRNA synthetase genes and some amino acid biosynthetic genes usually in Gram-positive bacteria. The anticodon of a specific tRNA base pairs to a specifier sequence within the T-box motif, and the NCCA acceptor tail of the tRNA base pairs to a conserved bulge in the T-box antiterminator hairpin.
Source: RNAcentral